RNAcentral lists this unclassified non-coding RNA (227 nucleotides) under uncultured fungus. RNAcentral describes it as "sequence contains ITS1, 5.8S rRNA gene". The stretch from base 179 to 227 matches the Rfam family "5.8S ribosomal RNA", at positions 1 to 49 of the family's 154-position model. The record is from RNAcentral. Lineage: Eukaryota; Fungi.
UCUCCGUAGGUGAACCUGCGGAGGGAUCAUUACCGAGUGAGGGUUCCGGCCCGACCUCCAACCCUUUGUGAAUUCGACCCAGUUGCUUCGGGGGCGACCCUGCCUUUCGGGCAGUGCGCCCCCGGUGGACCACCCAACCCUGCAUCGUUGCGUCUGAGUCGAAAUAUAAAUCAAUCAAAACUUUCAACAACGGAUCUCUUGGUUCUGGCAUCGAUGAAGAACGCAGC